This 195-nucleotide unclassified non-coding RNA is filed under the name soil metagenome. RNAcentral describes it as "partial contains 5.8S ribosomal RNA, internal transcribed spacer 2, and large subunit ribosomal RNA". The record is from RNAcentral.
AACUGAUACUACCUGCGGGAACCUGCGGAGGGAUCAUUACCGAGUUAUCCAACUCCCAACCCCUGUGAAUCAUACCUUUAAUUGUUGCUUCGGCGGGACUUCGCGCCCGCCGGGGACCCAAACCUUCUGAAUUUUUUAAUAAGUAUCUUCUGAGUGGUUAAAAAAAUGAAUCAAAACUUUCAACAACGGAUCUCU